This 71-nucleotide transfer RNA is filed under the name Ovis aries (sheep). It matches the Rfam family "tRNA". From Rfam's summary of the family: Transfer RNA (tRNA) molecules are approximately 80 nucleotides in length. Their secondary structure includes four short double-helical elements and three loops (D, anti-codon, and T loops). The record is from Rfam by way of RNAcentral. Lineage: Eukaryota; Metazoa; Chordata; Mammalia; Artiodactyla; Bovidae.
UCCUAGGUAGCUCAGUGGUAAAGCAUCUACCUUCCAAGUAGGAGACUUGGGUUCAAUCCCUGGAUUGAGAA